GAUGCGACACCAACAAGCACAGCAGGACAACCAACAGUUCCGACCACAGCAACAACGACCGCAAGUACAGCAGGAUUGAUACCAACAGCCACAAUAGAAAGUCCUACAGUGUGUUCUGUCGAUGCUCCGACUCUGGAUGCUGUACCUGGGCAAGUUGGUCACGUGACGUCUCCUUACUACCCGUCCCCCUACUACAACAACGCCGACUGUCGGUGGUUGAUAAACGCUGGCAGUGGUUAUGUUGUCAAGGUGACUGUCACUGAUGUCAGUCUGGAGACAGGGUGGGAUUUCUUGGAG
This is a long non-coding RNA of Pomacea canaliculata, 297 nucleotides long. RefSeq lists it as uncharacterized. The record is from RefSeq and is a predicted model, not a curated record. The transcript has 5 exons. Lineage: Eukaryota; Metazoa; Mollusca; Gastropoda; Architaenioglossa; Ampullariidae.